GUAAGAGUACGUAGGUGGUCUAUUAAGUCAGAUGUGAAAGCCCCGGGCUUAACCUGGGAACUGCAUUUGAAACUGAUAAACUAGAGUAUGGUAGAGGGGGGUAGAAUUUCUAGUGUAGCGGUGAAAUGCGUAGAUAUUAUAAGGAAUACCAGUGGCGAAGGCGGCCCCCUGGACCAAUACUGACACUGAGGUACGAAAGCGUGGGUAGCGAAGAGGAUUAGAUACCCUGGUAGUCCACGCCGUAAACGAUGUCAACUAGCCGUUGGGACCUUGAGGUCUCAGUGGGGCAGCUAACGCGUGAAGUUGACCGCCUGGGGAGUACGGCCGCAAGGCUAAAACUCAAAUGAAUUGACGGGGGCCCGCACAAGCGGUGGAGCAUGUGGUUUAAUUCUAUGCAACGCGAAGAACCUUACCAUCCCUUGACAUCUUCUGAACUUGUUAGAGAUAACUCGGGGCCUUCGGGAACUGAAUGACAGGUGCUGCAUGGGUGUCGUCAGCUCGUGUCGUGAGAUGUUGGGUUAGGUCCCGCAACGAGCGCAACCCUUAUCCUUAGUUGCCAGCACAUUAUGGUGGGAACUCUAAGGAGACUGCCGGUGAUAAACCGGAGGAAGGUGGGGAUGACGUCAAGUCAUCAUGGGCCUUAUGGGAUGGGCUACACACGUGCUACAAUGGGCAGUACAGAGAGCAGCGAACUCCCGAGAGUAAGCAAAUCCCAGAAAGCUGGUCGUAGUCCGGAUUGGAGUCUGCAACUCGACUCCAUGAAGUUGGAAUCGCUAGUAAUCGCGAAUCAUAAUGUCGCGGUGAAUACGUU
RNAcentral lists this ribosomal RNA (811 nucleotides) under uncultured bacterium. Its description in RNAcentral is "bacterial SSU rRNA". It matches the Rfam family "Bacterial small subunit ribosomal RNA", at positions 561 to 1372 of the family's 1533-position model. The record is from RNAcentral.